Acanthosepion pharaonis is the source of this 105-nucleotide non-coding RNA. The record is from the annotation of a GenBank genome assembly. NCBI's taxonomy places the organism in Eukaryota, Metazoa, Mollusca, Cephalopoda, Sepiida, Sepiidae.
ACGGCCAUAUCAUGUUGAAACACCGGUUCUCGUACGAUCACCGAAGUUAAGCAACAUCGAACCUCGUUAUUUCCUAGAUGGGUGACCGCUUGGGACUAUCAUGUG